RNAcentral lists this ribosomal RNA (35 nucleotides) under Lactarius sp. C28. Its description in RNAcentral is "partial 18S ribosomal RNA". The record is from RNAcentral. Lineage: Eukaryota; Fungi; Basidiomycota; Agaricomycetes; Russulales; Russulaceae. RNAcentral also lists the same sequence under 1 other name.
CCUUCCGUAGGUGAACCUGCGGAAGGAUCAUUAUC